GGGGUUGUGGCUCAGUGGUAGAGCACUUGCCUAGUAUGUAUGAGGCACUGGGUUUGAUUCUCAGCACCA
This 69-nucleotide transfer RNA is filed under the name Marmota monax (woodchuck). It matches the Rfam family "tRNA". From Rfam's summary of the family: Transfer RNA (tRNA) molecules are approximately 80 nucleotides in length. Their secondary structure includes four short double-helical elements and three loops (D, anti-codon, and T loops). Further hydrogen bonds mediate the characteristic L-shaped molecular structure. tRNAs have two regions of fundamental functional importance: the anti-codon, which is responsible for specific mRNA codon recognition, and the 3' end, to which the tRNAs corresponding amino acid is attached (by aminoacyl-tRNA synthetases). tRNAs cope with the degeneracy of the genetic code in two manners: having more than one tRNA (with a specific anti-codon) for a particular amino acid; and 'wobble' base-pairing, i.e. permitting non-standard base-pairing at the 3rd anti-codon position. Lineage: Eukaryota; Metazoa; Chordata; Mammalia; Rodentia; Sciuridae. The record is from Rfam by way of RNAcentral. RNAcentral also lists the same sequence under 2 other names.